UUUAAAUAAAUGAUUACAAAGCCCAGUCGAAUUGUAAUCAAGGCCCAACAUUGGGUCUUGAUUACAAUUCGACUGGGCUUUGUAAUAAUUUAUUUA
RNAcentral lists this microRNA precursor (96 nucleotides) under Paramuricea clavata. Lineage: Eukaryota; Metazoa; Cnidaria; Anthozoa; Malacalcyonacea; Plexauridae. The record is from RNAcentral.